AUCUACAGUCUGAACGACAAACUUCUCUUGAUUGUUGGUGCAGAAAACCCGGUUCUGAUAUCUGGGCUGAGCAAAUAGUCAGUGCUGGUGGUUAACUACUUCCCUUCAAGGUAUGACCCAGUUCGCCAUGCAGAGAAUUAUCCAACUCCACCUGCAGUCUGCUAUGUAAAACGUGGAGGGCCAUGUAUUAUUGAGAAAGAGAACAACUUCAAGGAGUCUAGAGAUUGCAAUUGUUCCUUCACACCAGAGAGGCAAGAACGUCGGUCGAUGGAUUGAUGCUCUGUCACCCCCUCCCAUCACACAUGAAAUCUGCAGCAUCUGGAUAUCUUACAGGUCCCAGGCUGAUAAGUCACUGGGACAGAAGCUGGCAAGCCGUCUGAACGUGAGACCAAGCAUCUAAAACGAGUGAACAAGAUUCUCGAUUGGUCAUUCUGUGGUUCCAACAGACGAGAGAAAAAAGAUGGGAAGAUAUCAGAUGUGCCAUGGAUAUAAUCUUCAUCAUGUGUAUCCUGUGUGUUGUGUAGUAAUAUUUUUUGUUGACCAAAACAAUAAAACUUCUGUUGUGUUGUGACCUUAGUCUUAUCUAUUUUUAUGAGUUCAUUUACAAUUA
Raphanus sativus (radish) is the source of this 610-nucleotide long non-coding RNA. RefSeq lists it as uncharacterized. The record is from RefSeq and is a predicted model, not a curated record. The transcript has 6 exons. NCBI's taxonomy places the organism in Eukaryota, Viridiplantae, Streptophyta, Magnoliopsida, Brassicales, Brassicaceae.